AGUGAACGCUGGCGGUAGGCCUAACACAUGCAAGUCGAACGGCAGCACAGUAAGAGCUUGCUCUUACGGGUGGCGAGUGGCGGACGGGUGAGGAAUACAUCGGAAUCUACUUUUUCGUGGGGGAUAACGGAGGGAAACUUACGCUAAUACCGCAUACGACCUACGGGUGAAAGCAGGGGAUCUUCGGACCUUGCGCGAUUGAAUGAACCGAUGUCGGAUUAGCUAGUUGGCGGGGUAAAGGCCCACCAAGGCGACGAUCCGUAGCUGGUCUGAGAGGAUGAUCAGCCACACUGGAACUGAGACACGGUCCAGACUCCUACGGGAGGCAGCAGUGGGGAAUAUUGGACAAUGGGCGCAAGCCUGAUCCAGCCAUACCGCGUGGGUGAAGAAGGCCUUCGGGUUGUAAAGCCCUUUUGUUGGGAAAGAAAAGCAGCAGGUUAAUACCCCGCUGUUCUGACGGUACCCAAAGAAUAAGCACCGGCUAACUUCGUG
This 492-nucleotide ribosomal RNA is filed under the name uncultured bacterium. Its description in RNAcentral is "partial 16S ribosomal RNA". It matches the Rfam family "Bacterial small subunit ribosomal RNA", at positions 29 to 507 of the family's 1533-position model. The record is from RNAcentral.